This 497-nucleotide ribosomal RNA is filed under the name uncultured bacterium. RNAcentral describes it as "partial 16S ribosomal RNA". It matches the Rfam family "Bacterial small subunit ribosomal RNA", at positions 28 to 507 of the family's 1533-position model. The record is from RNAcentral.
GAUGAACGCUGGCGGCGUGCCUAAUACAUGCAAGUCGAGCGAACGGACGCGAAGCUUGCUUCUCUGAUGUUAGCGGCGGACGUGUGAGUAACACGUGGAUAACCUACCUAUAAGACUGGGAUAACUUCGGGAAACCGGAGCUAAUACCGUAUAAUAUUUUGAACCGCAUGGUUCAAAAGUGAAAGACGGUCUUUCUGUCACUUCUAGAUGGAUCCGCGCUGCAUUAGCUAGUUGUUAAGGUAACGGCUUACCAAGGCAACGAUGCAUAGCCGACCUGAGAGGGUGAUAGGCCACACUGGAACUGAGACACGGUCAAGACUCCUACGGGAGGCAGCAGUAGGGAAUCUUCCGCAAUGGGCGAAAGCAUGACGGAGCAACGCCGCGUGAGUGAUGAAGGUCUUCGGAUCGUAAAACUCUGUUAUUAGGGAAGAACAUAUGUGUAAGUAACUGUGCACAGAUUGACGGUACCUAAUCAGAAAGCCACGGCUAACUACGUG